Molecule: ribosomal RNA, 484 nt
Filed under: uncultured bacterium
Lineage: Bacteria
Description: partial 16S ribosomal RNA
Rfam family: Bacterial small subunit ribosomal RNA
Source: RNAcentral
AUUGAACGCUGGCGGCAGGCCUAACACAUGCAAGUCGAGCGGAUGAAGGGAGCUUGCUCCUGGAUUCAGCGGCGGACGGGUGAGUAAUGCCUAGGAAUCUGCCUGGUCGUGGGGGAUAACGUCCGGAAACGGGCGCUAAUACCGCAUACGUCCUGAGGGUGAAAGUGGGGGAUCUUCGGACCUCACGCUAUUAGCUGAGCCUAGGUCGGAUUAGCUAGUUGGUGGGGUAAAGGCCUACCAAGGCGACGAUCCGUAACUGGGCUGAGAGGAUGAUCAGUCACACUGGAACUGAGACACGGUCCAGACUCCUACGGGAGGCAGCAGUGGGGAAUAUUGGACAAUGGGCGAAAGCCUGAUCCAGCCAUGCCGCGUGUGUGAAGAAGGUCUUCGGAUUGUAAAGCACUGUUAGUUGGGAGGAAGGGCAGUAAGUUAAUACCUUGCUGUUUUGACGUUACCAACAGAAUAAGCACCGGCUAACUUCGUG